GGGGCUGUAGCUCAGCUGGGAGAGCAUUUGACUGGCAGUCAAAAGGUCGCCGGUUCGAUCCCGGUCAGCUCCACCA
RNAcentral lists this transfer RNA (76 nucleotides) under Acidobacteriota bacterium. Its description in RNAcentral is "Acidobacteria bacterium (groundwater metagenome) tRNA-Ala". It matches the Rfam family "tRNA". From Rfam's summary of the family: Transfer RNA (tRNA) molecules are approximately 80 nucleotides in length. Their secondary structure includes four short double-helical elements and three loops (D, anti-codon, and T loops). Further hydrogen bonds mediate the characteristic L-shaped molecular structure. tRNAs have two regions of fundamental functional importance: the anti-codon, which is responsible for specific mRNA codon recognition, and the 3' end, to which the tRNAs corresponding amino acid is attached (by aminoacyl-tRNA synthetases). tRNAs cope with the degeneracy of the genetic code in two manners: having more than one tRNA (with a specific anti-codon) for a particular amino acid; and 'wobble' base-pairing, i.e. permitting non-standard base-pairing at the 3rd anti-codon position. RNAcentral also lists the same sequence under 1 other name. Lineage: Bacteria; Pseudomonadati; Acidobacteriota. The record is from RNAcentral.